GUGGGUAGUUUGACUGGGGCGGUCUCCUCCUAAAGAGUAACGGAGGAGCACGAAGGUUGGCUAAUCCUGGUCGGACAUCAGGAGGUUAGUGCAAUGGCAUAAGCCAGCUUGACUGCGAGCGUGACGGCGCGAGCAGGUGCGAAAGCAGGUCAUAGUGAUCCGGUGGUUCUGAAUGGAAGGGCCAUCGCUCAACGGAUAAAAGGUACUCCGGGGAUAACAGGCUGAUACCGCCCAAGAGUUCAUAUCGACGGCGGUGUUUGGCACCUCGAUGUCGGCUCAUCACAUCCUGGGGCUGAAGUAGGUCCCAAGGGUAUGGCUGUUCGCCAUUUAAAGUGGUACGCGAGCUGGGUUUAGAACGUCGUGAGACAGUUCGGUCCCUAUCUGCCGUGGGCGCUGGAGAACUGAGGGGGGCUGCUCCUAGUACGAGAGGACCGGAGUGGACGCAUCACUGGUGUUCGGGUUGUCAUGCCAAUGGCACUGCCCGGUAGCUAAAUGCGGAAGAGAUAAGUGCUGAAAGCAUCUAAGCACGAAACUUGCCCCGAGAUGAGUUCUCCCUGAGACUUAGAGUCUCCUGAAGGAACGUUGAAGACGACGACGUUGAUAGGCCGGGUGUGUAAGCGCAGCGAUGCGUUGAGCUAACCGGUACUAAUGAACCGUGAGGCUUAACCUUACAACGCCG
Molecule: ribosomal RNA, 679 nt
Filed under: Salmonella enterica
Lineage: Bacteria; Pseudomonadati; Pseudomonadota; Gammaproteobacteria; Enterobacterales; Enterobacteriaceae
Also listed under: 5 other names
Description: partial 23S ribosomal RNA
Rfam family: Bacterial large subunit ribosomal RNA
Source: RNAcentral